This is a small nuclear RNA of 196 nucleotides. Its record names the gene U2. It matches the Rfam family "U2 spliceosomal RNA". From Rfam's summary of the family: U2 is a small nuclear RNA (snRNA) component of the spliceosome (involved in pre-mRNA splicing). Complementary binding between U2 snRNA (in an area lying towards the 5' end but 3' to hairpin I) and the branchpoint sequence (BPS) of the intron results the bulging out of an unpaired adenosine, on the BPS, which initiates a nucleophilic attack at the intronic 5' splice site, thus starting the first of two transesterification reactions that mediate splicing. The record is from Ensembl.
AUCGCUUCUCGGCCUUUUGGCUAAGCUAAGAUCAAGUGUAGUAUCUGUUCUUAUCAGUUUAAUAUCUGAUACGUCCCCUAUCAGGGGACCAUAUAUUAAAUUGAUUUUUGGAAUCGGGAGAUGGAACAGGGGCUUGCUCCGUCCACUCCACGCAUCGGCCCGGUAUUGCAGUACCUCCGGGAACGGUGCACACUUU